Molecule: ribosomal RNA, 534 nt
Filed under: Anchieta eurydella
Lineage: Eukaryota; Metazoa; Arthropoda; Insecta; Neuroptera; Mantispidae
Description: partial 16S ribosomal RNA
Rfam family: Bacterial large subunit ribosomal RNA
Source: RNAcentral
CAAAAACAUGUCUUUUUGAAAUUAAUCUAAAGUCUAAUCUGCCCACUGAUUUUUAAUUGAAGGGCCGCAGUAUUUUGACUGUGCAAAGGUAGCAUAAUCAUUUGUCUUUUAAUUGAAGGCUAGAAUGAAUGAUUGAAUGAAGUAUUAACUGUCUCAUAUUAAAAAAAAUAAAAAUUUAAUUUUUUAGUUAAAAAGCUGAAAUUUUAUUAAAAGACGAGAAGACCCUAUAGAUCUUUAUUAUUAUUAAUAUUUUCUUAAUUUGAUUAAUAAAUUUUAAUAUAUUAAUAAUAAUUUUGUUGGGGUGAUGGAAAAAUUUAAUUAACUUUUUUUAAAAAUUUUCAUUGAUUUAUGUUUAUUUGAUCCAAUAUUAUUGAUUAUAAGAUUAAGUUACCUUAGGGAUAACAGCGUAAUUUUUUUAGAGAGUUCAUAUCGAUAAAAAAGAUUGCGACCUCGAUGUUGAAUUAAAGAUUAUUUUUAAAUGUAGAAGUUUAAAGUUUAGGUCUGUUCGACCUUUGAAUCUUUACAUGAUCUGAG